Molecule: ribosomal RNA, 492 nt
Filed under: uncultured bacterium
Lineage: Bacteria
Description: partial 16S ribosomal RNA
Rfam family: Bacterial small subunit ribosomal RNA
Source: RNAcentral
AGUGAACGCUGGCGGUAGGCCUAACACAUGCAAGUCGAACGGCAGCACAGUAAGAGCUUGCUCUUACGGGUGGCGAGUGGCGGACGGGUGAGGAAUACAUCGGAAUCUACUUUUUCGUGGGGGAUAACGUAGGGAAACUUACGCUAAUACCGCAUACGACCUACGGGUGAAAGCAGGGGAUCUUCGGACCUUGCGCGAUUGAAUGAGCCGAUGUCGGAUUAGCUAGUUGGCGGGGUAAAGGCCCACCAAGGCGACGAUCCGUAGCUGGUCUGAGAGGAUGAUCAGCCACACUGGAACUGAGACACGGUCCAGACUCCUACGGGAGGCAGCAGUGGGGAAUAUUGGACAAUGGGCGCAAGCCUGAUCCAGCCAUACCGCGUGAGUGAAGAAGGCCUUCGGGUUGUAAAGCCCUUUUGUUAGGAAAGAAAAGCAGCAGGUUAAUACCCCGCUGUUCUGACGGUACCCAAAGAGUAAGCACCGGCUAACUUCGUG